UACGGAGGGUGCAAGCGUUAUCCGGAUUUACUGGGUUUAAAGGGUGUGUAGGCGGGCCAGUAAGUCAGUGGUGAAAUCUCCGGGCUCAACCCGGAAACUGCCAUUGAUACUAUUGGUCUUGAAUUUUGUUGAGGUAGGCGGAAUAUGUCAUGUAGCGGUGAAAUGCAUAGAUAUGACAUAGAACACCGAUUGCGAAGGCAGCUUGCUAAACAAAUAUUGACGCUGAGGCACGAAAGCGUGGGGAU
This 245-nucleotide ribosomal RNA is filed under the name uncultured bacterium. RNAcentral describes it as "partial 16S ribosomal RNA". It matches the Rfam family "Bacterial small subunit ribosomal RNA", at positions 524 to 768 of the family's 1533-position model. The record is from RNAcentral.